RNAcentral lists this ribosomal RNA (840 nucleotides) under Triticum aestivum (bread wheat). RNAcentral's name for it is "partial small subunit ribosomal RNA". Lineage: Eukaryota; Viridiplantae; Streptophyta; Magnoliopsida; Poales; Poaceae. The record is from RNAcentral.
AUGACUCUGAACCAUAAAGGCCUGCUGCCACAAGUUACUUUUGUGAUGAAGAUCCCAAUCGGUGUGCCAUCAGAGGACGCUGCAGAUUCAAAUUUCUGUGUGCAAUUGUUCAAGCAUGUGAAGCAAAUGGGUGUCCUGAGCACAGAACUCUUCUGCAAUCAUGGUCUGCAGUUAAGGCUAUUUGAGCCAUUACUGUCCUCUGCUCUAGCUAUCAUUACAGUGCAUUACUUGAUCUCCAUGGUGCCAAGAGAUACGACUGUCCCGAGUAAGCCGAUAAUCCAAGUUAUGGGUGAUCUGAACCUGGGUGUUGUGGAAUGGCGACUAAUUAUCAGUUCUAUGGCGGCACAUUUAUUUCAGAACAUGCAAAUUGGGCCGUAUGAACUAGUUGGUGCUGCUAUUGUUUGCCCUAAUUGCUCUAAACAUUCCCAAUGGAAAGUUGCAUGGCCACUCCAUUCCAAGAGGAAAACAUAUGCUAGCAGGUCCUGUCUUAUGCCACGGCCAUCAUUUUCUUGCUCUCUUGACGGAUUUACUCUGAAGCACACAUGGAUGCUACCACAUGUCAUUUAUGUGAUGAAGAGUUUAUCUGGUAAUCUGAAUUCUCUUAGAGCUUUCUCAAGCUAUUUUCCAAAUCUGCAACUGAAGUCCAGAUUCAGUCAAACAAAUGUCCACCUGAAGCUUACAUGGUCAUCUGAUUCUUGCAAUUGCCGAGCAGUGCAAGUGUGUUCCGAACUGCCUAAGGUGGAAUAUUUUGAACAUCAGUUUAUGGGUGUUUGCGAGCAUCACAUAGUGGUUUGGAACUAUGCUGUUCUGGGUUGCAUUCCUAUUUCUGAUAAAUUGUAG